This is a non-coding RNA of Eucalyptus grandis, 87 nucleotides long. Lineage: Eukaryota; Viridiplantae; Streptophyta; Magnoliopsida; Myrtales; Myrtaceae. The record is from Rfam.
GCGAGGUGACGAUAGAAAUUCAUGUCUGUCAAUCCACUGACUUACAACAGCGUGAUGUUAUCGUGAAUCCCGACAGGUUCCGAUCGC